CGCGGUAUCUGGUAACAGCUGCCGUGAUGGGGCAGGAGUCAGCAGAAGCCAUAGUAGGCGAUAGGACGUUGCCGCAAGC
Geobacter sp. is the source of this 79-nucleotide non-coding RNA. Lineage: Bacteria; Pseudomonadati; Thermodesulfobacteriota; Desulfuromonadia; Geobacterales; Geobacteraceae. The record is from Rfam.